CAGCCGUUAAGGGAAUACAGAGGGUGCGAGCGUUAAUCGGAUUUACUGGGCGUAAAGCGUGCGUAGGCGGCUAAUUGAGUCGGAUGUGAAAUCCCCGAGCUUAACUUGGGAAUUGCAUUCGAUACUGGUUAGCUAGAGUGUGGGAGAGGAUGGUAGAAUUCCAGGUGUAGAGGUGAAAUGCGUAGAGAUCUGGAGGAAUACCGAUGGCGAAGGCAGCCAUCUGGCCUAACACUGACGCUGAGGUACGAAAGCAUGGGGAGCAAACAGGAUUAGAUACCCGUGUAGUCCCUGUCUCUUAUAC
This 301-nucleotide ribosomal RNA is filed under the name uncultured bacterium. RNAcentral's name for it is "partial 16S ribosomal RNA". It matches the Rfam family "Bacterial small subunit ribosomal RNA", at positions 509 to 807 of the family's 1533-position model. The record is from RNAcentral.